This 492-nucleotide ribosomal RNA is filed under the name uncultured bacterium. Its description in RNAcentral is "partial 16S ribosomal RNA". It matches the Rfam family "Bacterial small subunit ribosomal RNA", at positions 29 to 507 of the family's 1533-position model. The record is from RNAcentral.
AGUGAACGCUGGCGGUAGGCCUAACACAUGCAAGUCGAACGGCAGCACAGUAAGAGCUUGCUCUUACGGGUGGCGAGUGGCGGACGGGUGAGGAAUACAUCGGAAUCUACUUUUUCGUGGAGGAUAACGUAGGGAAACUUACGCUAAUACCGCAUGCGACCUACGGGUGAAAGCAGGGGAUCUUCGGACCUUGCGCGAUUGAAUGAGCCGAUGUCGGAUUAGCUAGUUGGCGGGGUAAAGGCCCACCAAGGCGACGAUCCGUAGCUGGUCUGAGAGGAUGAUCAGCCACACUGGAACUGAGACACGGUCCAGACUCCUACGGGAGGCAGCAGUGGGGAAUAUUGGACAAUGGGCGCAAGCCUGAUCCAGCCAUACCGCGUGGGUGAAGAAGGCCUUCGGGUUGUAAAGCCCUUUUGUUGGGAAAGAAAAGCAGCAGGUUAAUACCCCGCUGUUCUGACGGUACCCAAAGAAUAAGCACCGGCUAACUUCGUG